RNAcentral lists this ribosomal RNA (451 nucleotides) under uncultured bacterium. RNAcentral's name for it is "partial 16S ribosomal RNA". It matches the Rfam family "Bacterial small subunit ribosomal RNA", at positions 29 to 523 of the family's 1533-position model. The record is from RNAcentral.
AACGAACGCUGGCGGCAGGCUUAACACAUGCAAGUCGAACGGGUGUAGCAAUACAUCAGUGGCGCACGGGUGAGUAACGCGUGGGAAUAUGCCCUUUGGUACGGAACAACCUCGGCAAACUGAGGCUAAUACCGUAUAAUAACUGCGGAUCAAAGAUUUAUCGCCAAAGGAUUAGCCCGCGUUGUCUUAGGUAGUUGGUGAGGUAACGGCUCACCAAGCCGACGAUCCAUAGCUGGUCUGAGAGGAUGAUCAGCCACACUGGGACUGAGACACGGCCCAGACUCCUACGGGAGGCAGCAGUGAGGAAUAUAGGACAAUGGAGGAAACACUGAUCCAGCCAUGCCGCGUGAGUGAUGAAGGCCUUCGGGUUGUAAAGCUCUUUUACCCCUGACGAUAAUGACGGUAAGGGGAGAAAAAGCCACGGCUAACUUCGUGCCAGCAGCCGCCGCAG